AAGCAUCGAUAACACUGUAAUUCACCCUCUUUCCCGCUAGGUGACACAAAUACGCAUGCGUCCUUGUGCCAAUAACAUGAUGGAGUGAAUGAAAAAAAACUGCAGAUGCCUGUUUGGAUACAUUGUCAACAUGUGCAAUAACCAGGUAUUUAAACUUUUUUUUUGUUUCAAAUCAUAUUUUUCUAAGCGCAUAAUCCAAGUAGAGUGAUCAAUUAUUUACAUCUCGCACAUUUAUUUUGUUGACAGUAGUUACAAGGAAAAUGACAACGUUACAUAAACAUUCAAGCACAGGUGUCAAACUCGAGGCCUGCGAAAGCUCGCCACAAUUUUUCAAAACUAGCUGUAAAAUGAACACCAAUUGCAGGGGCAAUUAUGAAACAUGAUCGAGCAAUUAUUCCCACACGCUGAACAUGUUAGGUCAGGGACGAGAAGUAGCCACACGCCAGGUCCGCAAACAAACACAGUGCAGCUCAGUUUCUGACUCGCGGACGACAUCAUGGCUCGCCAUAUGUUUUUUUGUUUUUUCCAGCUGCAUUUAAACAACCUAAUAAGCCAGCA
Molecule: long non-coding RNA, 558 nt
Organism: Hippocampus comes (tiger tail seahorse)
Lineage: Eukaryota; Metazoa; Chordata; Actinopteri; Syngnathiformes; Syngnathidae
Exons: 2
Source: RefSeq, a predicted model, not a curated record